CUUGCGGACUUCACGAGGAAGAAGACACAUGCAGAGUGGGAGCAAGUUUUAUAUGAUCAUCACGCUUUAGCACGGACAGUGUUAUUUGAUUGAUAUACGAGCCAUUCAGAAGCCACAUUGAUCAACUUAAUACAGUGAGAAUCAGGAGAAAGCGACGUUGUUGCGAAGACUAUAUGUUAAAUGUGCUUUAGAAUUUACUAUUAUUUAUGUCAAUUUCUUGGCAUGAAGGAAUUGAUGGAACACGGACAGUGUUAUCUGAUUGAUAUACGAGCCA
RNAcentral lists this unclassified non-coding RNA (274 nucleotides) under Bombus terrestris (buff-tailed bumblebee). Its description in RNAcentral is "misc RNA ENSBTSG00005027541.1". Lineage: Eukaryota; Metazoa; Arthropoda; Insecta; Hymenoptera; Apidae. The record is from RNAcentral.